Molecule: ribosomal RNA, 403 nt
Filed under: Fusobacteriota bacterium
Lineage: Bacteria; Fusobacteriati; Fusobacteriota
Description: Fusobacteria bacterium partial 16S ribosomal RNA
Rfam family: Bacterial small subunit ribosomal RNA
Source: RNAcentral
UGGGGAAUAUUGCACAAUGGAGGGAACUCUGAUGCAGCGACGCCGCGUGAACGAAGAAGGCUUUCGAGUCGUAAAGUUCUUUUAUAUGGGAAGAUAAUGACGGUACCAUAAGAAAAAGCCCCGGCUAACUACGUGCCAGCAGCCGCGGUAAUACGUAGGGGGCUAGCGUUGUCCGGAAUCACUGGGCGUAAAGGGCUCGCAGGCGGAAAUGCAAGUCAGGUGUAAAAGGCAGUAGCUUAACUACUGUAAGCAUUUGAAACUGCAUAUCUUGAGAAGAGUAGAGGUAAGUGGAAUUUUUAGUGUAGCGGUGAAAUGCGUAGAUAUUAAAAAGAAUACCGGUGGCGAAGGCGACUUACUGGGCUCAUUCUGACGCUGAGGAACGAAAGCGUGGGUAGCAAACAGG